RNAcentral lists this small nucleolar RNA (106 nucleotides) under Olea europaea subsp. europaea. Its description in RNAcentral is "Plant small nucleolar RNA R71". It matches the Rfam family "Plant small nucleolar RNA R71". From Rfam's summary of the family: R71 is a member of the C/D box family of snoRNAs containing the C (UGAUGA) and D (CUGA) box motifs. Multiple nearly identical copies of this snoRNA have been identified in Arabidopsis, and it is thought to function as a 2'-O-ribose methylation guide for 18S ribosomal RNA. The record is from Rfam by way of RNAcentral. Lineage: Eukaryota; Viridiplantae; Streptophyta; Magnoliopsida; Lamiales; Oleaceae.
AUGUCAAGAUUGGGGCACUUCCUCAAUAAGUUCUUAUACCUUUCCCAUGCCUCCAGAUAGCUCUCAAGGUCUUUCUGCUUAAAGGUAUGGAUUUCAUUCUGAAUUU